Molecule: long non-coding RNA, 328 nt
Organism: Cottoperca gobio
Lineage: Eukaryota; Metazoa; Chordata; Actinopteri; Perciformes; Bovichtidae
Exons: 3
Source: RefSeq, a predicted model, not a curated record
UUCCUGUUUCCCAAGCAUUUGAUUCCCCGGCUUCCCCGGUCUGCCAUUCCUCUCUCUGAGUACCUGGAUCCCCCACACCUGAACUUCAUACGUUCGACAGUGGAGCUGUGUAUCAACACCUAGAACCAGGCCACCGAGCUGUGUGUUGGGCUGGUGCUGCUUGCUUUUUCUGGAUAAAUAAAUAAUGCUGCAAAAAAGAAUUUGAGCAGCAUUGCGGUUUACAGCGAGAGAGAUGAUUGCUUCUGUUCAGUGCUGCACGUGAGAGGUCAGAACACAACAUGCCUCACAGCACAGCAAUCAGUAUGGGGACCGUGUUGGCGACUCUGCA